Molecule: ribosomal RNA, 1360 nt
Filed under: uncultured bacterium
Lineage: Bacteria
Description: partial 16S ribosomal RNA
Rfam family: Bacterial small subunit ribosomal RNA
Source: RNAcentral
AGAGUUUGAUCCUGGCUCAGGACGAACGCUGGCGGCGUGCUUAACACAUGCAAGUCGAACGGAAAGGCCCUGCUUUUGUGGGGUGCUCGAGUGGCGAACGGGUGAGUAACACGUGAGUAACCUGCCCUUGACUUUGGGAUAACUUCAGGAAACUGGGGCUAAUACCGGAUAGGAGCUCCUGCUGCAUGGUGGGGGUUGGAAAGUUUCGGCGGUUGGGGAUGGACUCGCGGCUUAUCAGCUUGUUGGUGGGGUAGUGGCUUACCAAGGCUUUGACGGGUAGCCGGCCUGAGAGGGUGACCGGCCACAUUGGGACUGAGAUACGGCCCAGACUCCUACGGGAGGCAGCAGUGGGGAAUAUUGCACAAUGGGCGGAAGCCUGAUGCAGCAACGCCGCGUGCGGGAUGACGGCCUUCGGGUUGUAAACCGCUUUCGCCUGUGACGAAGCGUGAGUGACGGUAAUGGGUAAAGAAGCACCGGCUAACUACGUGCCAGCAGCCGCGGUGAUACGUAGGGUGCGAGCGUUGUCCGGAUUUAUUGGGCGUAAAGGGCUCGUAGGUGGUUGAUCGCGUCGGAAGUGUAAUCUUGGGGCUUAACCCUGAGCGUGCUUUCGAUACGGGUUGACUUGAGGAAGGUAGGGGAGAAUGGAAUUCCUGGUGGAGCGGUGGAAUGCGCAGAUAUCCGCGCCGUAGCUAACGCUUUAAGUACCCCGCCUGGGGAGUACGGCCGCAAGGCUAAAACUCAAAGGAAUUGACGGGGCCCCGCACAAGCGGCGGAGCAUGCGGAUUAAUUCGAUGCAACGCGUAGAACCUUACCUGGGUUUGACAUGGAUCGGGAGUGCUCAGAGAUGGGUGUGCCUCUUUUGGGGUCGGUUCACAGGUGGUGCAUGGCUGUCGUCAGCUCGUGUCGUGAGAUGUUGGGUUAAGUCCCGCAACGAGCGCAACCCUUGUUCACUGUUGCCAGCACGUUAUGGUGGGGACUCAGUGGAGACCGCCGGGGUCAACUCGGAGGAAGGUGGGGAUGACGUCAAGUCAUCAUGCCCCUUAUGUCCAGGGCUUCACGCAUGCUACAAUGGCUGGUACAGAGAGUGGCGAGCCUGUGAGGGUGAGCGAAUCUCGGAAAGCCGGUCUCAGUUCGGAUUGGGGUCUGCAACUCGACCUCAUGAAGUCGGAGUCGCUAGUAAUCGCAGAUCAGCAACGCUGCGGUGAAUACGUUCCCGGGGCUUGUACACACCGCCCGUCAAGUCAUGAAAGUUGGUAACACCCGAAGCCGGUGGCCUAACCGUUGUGGGGGAGCCGUCGAAGGUGGGACUGGUGAUUAGGACUAAGUCGUAACAAGGUAACCAAGGGCGAAUUCCACAGUG